This 468-nucleotide ribosomal RNA is filed under the name uncultured bacterium. RNAcentral's name for it is "partial 16S ribosomal RNA". It matches the Rfam family "Bacterial small subunit ribosomal RNA", at positions 28 to 507 of the family's 1533-position model. The record is from RNAcentral.
GAUGAACGCUGGCGGCGUGCUUAACACAUGCGAGUCGAACGGUGAAGGCGGAGCUUGCUCUGCUGGAUCAGUGGCGAACGGGUGGGUAACACGUGAGCAAUCUGCCCCUGACUCUGGGAUAAGCGCUGGAAACGGCGUCUAAUACUGGAUACGAGCUGCGAAGGCAUCUUCAGCAGCUGGAAAGAAUUUCGGUCAGGGAUGAGCUCGCGGCCUAUCAGCUUGUUGGUGAGGUAAUGGCUCACCAAGGCGUCGACGGGUAGCCGGCCUGAGAGGGUGACCGGCCACACUGGGACUGAGACACGGCCCAGACUCCUACGGGAGGCAGCAGUGGGGAAUAUUGCACAAUGGGCGAAAGCCUGAUGCAGCAACGCCGCGUGAGGGACGACGGCCUUCGGGUUGUAAACCUCUUUUAGCAGGGAAGAAGCGAAAGUGACGGUACCUGCAGAAAAAGCGCCGGCUAACUACGUG